UGGGGAAUUUUGGACAAUGGGCGCAAGCCUGAUCCAGCCAUGCCGCGUGCGGGAAGAAGGCCUUCGGGUUGUAAACCGCUUUUGUCAGGGAAGAAAUCUUCUGAGUUAAUACCUCGGGAGGAUGACGGUACCUGAAGAAUAAGCACCGGCUAACUACGUGCCAGCAGCCGCGGUAAUACGUAGGGUGCAAGCGUUAAUCGGAAUUACUGGGCGUAAAGCGUGCGCAGGCGGUUUUGUAAGACAGAGGUGAAAUCCCCGGGCUCAACCUGGGAACUGCCUUUGUGACUGCAAGGCUUGAGUGCGGCAGAGGGGGAUGGAAUUCCGCGUGUAGCAGUGAAAUGCGUAGAUAUGCGGAGGAACACCGAUGGCGAAGGCAAUCCCCUGGGCCUGCACUGACGCUCAUGCACGAAAGCGUGGGGAGCAAACAGGAUUAGAUACCCUGGUAGUCCACGCCCUAAACGAUGUCAACUGGUUGUUGGGAAGGUUCCUUCUCAGUAACGUAGCUAACGCGUGAAGUUGACCGCCUGGGGAGUACGGCCGCAAGGUUGAAACUUAAAUGAAUUGACGGGGU
Molecule: ribosomal RNA, 571 nt
Filed under: uncultured bacterium
Lineage: Bacteria
Description: partial 16S ribosomal RNA
Rfam family: Bacterial small subunit ribosomal RNA
Source: RNAcentral